UACGGAGGGUGCAAGCGUUAUCCGGAAUUAUUGGGCGUAAAGGGUACGUAGGCGGCUGGUCAAGUCUGGGGUCAAAGGCCACAGCUCAACUGUGGGAAGGCCCUGGAAACUGACCGGCUAGAGUGAGGUAGGGGUUGCGGGAAUUCCCGGUGUAGCGGUGAAAUGCGUAGAGAUCGGGAAGAACACCUGAGGCGGAAGCGCGCAACUGGGCCUCAACUGACGCUGAGGUACGAAAGCUAGGGGAGCGAAUGGG
This 253-nucleotide ribosomal RNA is filed under the name uncultured bacterium. RNAcentral's name for it is "partial 16S ribosomal RNA". It matches the Rfam family "Bacterial small subunit ribosomal RNA", at positions 524 to 776 of the family's 1533-position model. The record is from RNAcentral.